This 270-nucleotide unclassified non-coding RNA is filed under the name Hevea brasiliensis (rubber tree). The record is from RNAcentral. Lineage: Eukaryota; Viridiplantae; Streptophyta; Magnoliopsida; Malpighiales; Euphorbiaceae.
CCAGUUCAUGGUGAUGGACCCCUCCGGCAAUCAGGUCACCAUUCCAGGCACCCACACCACCGAGCCGACAUUCGGAUUGCCUGCGACCUGGGUCGAUGCCUCACUUAAGGAGGAAGCCUCGCUGAAGGGCUACACGGUGGUUGAUUCCGCGACCGUUCUGUCCACGCACCUCACUGAACUGCUCAAGGGCAAUAUGUCUGACCUGUUGUCCUAUGGCGAGGUGCAGAAGCUCCUGCGCGACCUGCCCAAGGAACAGGGUGAACUGGUCAA